UGGCUCAGUUGGUAGAGUAUGGUGUUUGCAAUGCCAGGGUUGUGGGUUCGAUUCCCAC
Non-coding RNA from Salmo salar (Atlantic salmon), 58 nucleotides. NCBI's taxonomy places the organism in Eukaryota, Metazoa, Chordata, Actinopteri, Salmoniformes, Salmonidae. The record is from Rfam.